CCAAUAUCUAUAAGCAUUGAUAUUGAUAUUGUUGAUUCUAAGGAGGCUACAAGACUGUGACUCGGAAUGUACAACUCAAUGGGACUGGUAGUGACUCUUCCACAACUAUAAGUGAACGCAGAUCAGGGGAUUCUGGUAAUGGUACCACACCAACACUAUUAUAUGAAGGUCUCAGCGGCAAGACUCUCCCCAUACAAUUUGACAUUACUACUGCUAUCGCACGGCCAGCCGAAACAAACUUGGUUGACCUGGAGAAUGCGUCCUUUGGACGGAGCAACACAAAAUCAGCGUCUGCUCCUGGUCCAGCGAAAUAGGACACGUCCUUCGGCUGCUCGAAAAAACGACCUAGAGAUUGACAAAGCAUUUCAAGUCUAACCAUAUCAUGGGAGAACACCGCACCAAAAGAGAUUUAGAUACUGCAAAUAAACUUGCAAUGUAGUAAAAUUAGAUAUAAUCCUUCUUUUACCUUGAACGGAAGCAAAAUGCAAUAAUACUGUUUUUUU
Long non-coding RNA from Panicum virgatum (switchgrass), 503 nucleotides. RefSeq lists it as uncharacterized. Lineage: Eukaryota; Viridiplantae; Streptophyta; Magnoliopsida; Poales; Poaceae. The transcript has 3 exons. The record is from RefSeq and is a predicted model, not a curated record.